This 1432-nucleotide ribosomal RNA is filed under the name uncultured organism. RNAcentral describes it as "partial small subunit ribosomal RNA". It matches the Rfam family "Bacterial small subunit ribosomal RNA". The record is from RNAcentral.
CUUAACACAUGCAAGUCGAACGGAAAGGCCCUGCUUUUGUGGGGUGCUCGAGUGGCGAACGGGUGAGUAACACGUGAGUAACCUGCCCUUGACUUUGGGAUAACUUCAGGAAACUGGGGCUAAUACCGGAUAGGAGCUCCUGCUGCAUGGUGGGGGUUGGAAAGUUUCGGCGGUUGGGGAUGGACUCGCGGCUUAUCAGCUUGUUGGUGGGUUAGUGGCUUACCAAGGCUUUGACGGGUAGCCGGCCUGAGAGGGUGACCGGCCACAUUGGGACUGAGAUACGGCCCAGACUCCUACGGGAGGCAGCAGUGGGGAAUAUUGCACAAUGGGCGGAAGCCUGAUGCAGCAACGCCGCGUGCGGGAUGACGGCCUUCGGGUUGUAAACCGCUUUCGCCUGUGACGAAGCGUGAGUGACGGUAAUGGGUAAAGAAGCACCGGCUAACUACGUGCCAGCAGCCGCGGUGAUACGUAGGGUGCGAGCGUUGUCCGGAUUUAUUGGGCGUAAAGGGCUCGUAGGUGGUUGAUCGCGUCGGAAGUGUAAUCUUGGGGCUUAACCCUGAGCGUGCUUUCGAUACGGGUUGACUUGAGGAAGGUAGGGGAGAAUGGAAUUCCUGGUGGAGCGGUGGAAUGCGCAGAUAUCAGGAGGAACACCAGUGGCGAAGGCGGUUCUCUGGGCCUUUCCUGACGCUGAGGAGCGAAAGCGUGGGGAGCGAACAGGCUUAGAUACCCUGGUAGUCCACGCUGUAAACGGUGGGUACUAGGUGUGGGGUCCAUUCCACGGGUUCCGUGCCGUAGCUAACGCUUUAAGUACCCCGCCUGGGGAGUACGGCCGCAAGGCUAAAACUCAAAGGAAUUGACGGGGCCCCGCACAAGCGGCGGAGCAUGCGGAUUAAUUCGAUGCAACGCGUAGAACCUUACCUGGGUUUGACAUGGAUCGGGAGUGCUCAGAGAUGGGUGUGCCUCUUUUGGGGUCGGUUCACAGGUGGUGCAUGGCUGUCGUCAGCUCGUGUCGUGAGAUGUUGGGUUAAGUCCCGCAACGAGCGCAACCCUUGUUCACUGUUGCCAGCACGUUAUGGUGGGGACUCAGUGGAGACCGCCGGGGUCAACUCGGAGGAAGGUGGGGAUGACGUCAAGUCAUCAUGCCCCUUAUGUCCAGGGCUUCACGCAUGCUACAAUGGCUGGUACAGAGAGUGGCGAGCCUGUGAGGGUGAGCGAAUCUCGGAAAGCCGGUCUCAGUUCGGAUUGGGGUCUGCAACUCGACCUCAUGAAGUCGGAGUCGCUAGUAAUCGCAGAUCAGCAACGCUGCGGUGAAUACGUUCCCGGGGCUUGUACACACCGCCCGUCAAGUCAUGAAAGUUGGUAACACCCGAAGCCGGUGGCCUAACCGUUGUGGGGGAGCCGUCGAAGGUGGGACUGGUGAUUAGGACUAAGA